UGAGGAAUAUUGGUCAAUGGACGGAAGUCUGAACCAGCCAAGUAGCGUGCAGGAUGACGGCCCUAUGGGUUGUAAACUGCUUUUGUAUGGGGAUAAAGUUAGGGACGUGUCCCUAUUUGCAGGUACCAUACGAAUAAGGACCGGCUAAUUCCGUGCCAGCAGCCGCGGUAAUACGGAAGGUCCAGGCGUUAUCCGGAUUUAUUGGGUUUAAAGGGAGCGUAGGCUGGAGAUUAAGUGUGUUGUGAAAUGUAGACGCUCAACGUCUGAAUUGCAGCGCAUACUGGUUUCCUUGAGUACGCACAACGUUGGCGGAAUUCGUCGUGUAGCGGUGAAAUGCUUAGAUAUGACGAAGAACUCCGAUUGCGAAGGCAGCUGACGGGAGCGCAACUGACGCUUAAGCUCGAAGGUGCGGGUAUCAAACAGGAUUAGAUACCCUGGUAGUCCGCACAGUAAACGAUGGAUGCCCGCUGUUGGUACCUGGUAUCAGCGGCUAAGCGAAAGCAUUAAGCAUCCCACCUGGGGAGUACGCCGGCAACGGU
RNAcentral lists this ribosomal RNA (539 nucleotides) under uncultured bacterium. Its description in RNAcentral is "bacterial SSU rRNA". It matches the Rfam family "Bacterial small subunit ribosomal RNA", at positions 355 to 895 of the family's 1533-position model. The record is from RNAcentral.